Long non-coding RNA from Pyrus x bretschneideri (Chinese white pear), 2441 nucleotides. RefSeq lists it as uncharacterized. NCBI's taxonomy places the organism in Eukaryota, Viridiplantae, Streptophyta, Magnoliopsida, Rosales, Rosaceae. The record is from RefSeq and is a predicted model, not a curated record. The transcript is spliced from 5 exons.
UUCCAUAUGCACAGUAAAAUUACGAAAUUUCCCAUGUUAACAUGUGUAUCUGUGUUGUGAGCUGUCGUUCAUGCUUUUCUCGGUGGUUUAUGGAAUUCGACAUCAACUGUUUUCCUGCACCUCUUCCUUCCUGCUCCAGUUCUCCAUUUUCGAUAGCCUUCCUCAUCUUUCAACGAGAUUCUUCAAUCAAACAAAACCACCUCCAACUCUGUAAAUUGCUUUUCCACCUGUUCACCCAAAUUCGAUGUAACACGCGAGAACCGCGACGUACCACCACUCCAUCCUCGCAUUUUCCAUAACCCUCUAUACGGAAGGGUUCCAAGGAUUGAAAAAAUUAUGGGUUCUUGGAGGAUUGGAGUGAGUGAAUCUUCCCCUCCGCCUCUUCGCCUCAUCUGGCAAAACAUCGUCCCAUUUAGCUCUGUUUCUCGCAAUUAACAGAAAAAUAUUCGAAACCUAAAACCCUCAAACCAGCAAAGCGAAUUCCCACACUUAAAAUUCGAACCCAACAAAUCGAUUUCAAGUGCUAAGCGGCUAGGUUCUAGGUCUUCUAAUUCCGGCGAGCUGUUUUCGCACGAAUGCCGGCAAACCGUACCGUGUCGUCGUCUUGCCUUCGUCUUUCAGUUUCGAAAUUCCAAUUUAAGCGGUCGAUGAAAGCAGAGUGGGUAAGAUCAGUUGCUCUGCAGCCUCACCCUCCAAACGCUACCCCCAUCACUUUGCUUCCCGGCGAUGGCUUGGCCUCAACCUCGCCCCCUCCAUCGAUGGUUUCUUUUAAUUCUGCUUCCGUUUUCUUCCUUUUCUCAAUUUUAUUUCAGGUGCCUGAGAAACGGUGGGAAAAUUAAAAGGAAAAGUCUUUUAAUUUUCCCAUAUUUUCUUUGGGUUAAUGUUUAACAAUUUGAGCUGCUCUGUGUGUUGUAUAUUCGAGAAAUUUUGUUGGGAAAUUAGUAAUUAUAUAACAUUUGGAUAUUUGUAUAACUGAAUAUGUUUACAUAAACUAGAGAUUGAUUUUAAGUAUGAAGAAGUACCUAUUGGUGGAGCUGGCUUAGAUUUGACUGGAGUGCCAUUACCUGAUGAGACCCUUUUGUCAGCUAAGCAAUCGACGCAAUUAUUCUUCUCGAAGCAGUUGGGCGUAGAAUUUGAAAUUUGUUGAGGGGGCCUAAUGUUACCAUUGAUGAAGUCUGCGCUUUUGGAAGGUAAGUAGUGAUAUUUAAUUAUUGUUUAUUGCAUUUUGUCAAAUUUUAUGGGAAAUUUUCUGAAUUAGGUGUGUGCUUGAUCCGAAAAAGUCUCAGAACAUUGCAAUUCUUGCUUAUUGCAUUGUGUCCAAUUUGGAAGGUAAGUUGUGAUUCUGUAAGGAUGUAUUGAAGGACCAUUUGUUUAGUUCGUUAGUGGAAUUUCGUUAUUUAUGUAUUUCCGAUAUACUUGGUACAUUGAUAAUUAAGGUUUAAAUGUCAUAAGGUUCCCUUGGUUUAUGAUUGACAAAUAAGAAGGAAUUGAAGAAGUGGGUUUAGCCUUUUAGGUUAGUGGGGAGAACGGUUACAGAAUUGUACUUGUUGUUAUUGCAGGGAAAUGAAACAUAAUUGCCGCUUCUGCAAAAUUAUCGAGUGGUAGCAAAUUUGCAGAUUCCCUAUUCAAUUGAAGUAAUUUGUUUCGAAUUUUAUUUGUCUUCCUGUAAUUUUCUGAAAAAAGGGAUUGUUUUGUUGCAAAAAGCAAGGCUAUGCUCCCAUUUCUUCAAGACUUGAAGUUUUCUAUAUUCCCUGGCUUUAUCUUCGAAUUCAGGAGCAAUUCCAGAAUUCUUAGAACGUUUGAAUUUUUUGGAAUCUCUGAAUCUAUCUUAUAACAAUUUUGAGGGCAUGUUGCCGAUCAAGGGAGUGUUCAAGAAUGCAAUGGCGACAUCAGUUGAAGGAAAUAGCAAGCUUUCUGGGGGCAUAUCUGAAUUUCAUUUGCCAAAGUGCAACUCUCCAGCAUCCAAAAAAAAGAAGGAUUGAGCUUAACCAUGAAAUUGGUUCUCUCUCUCAUUUGUGGGAUUUUUGGAGUUAUUUUUGCACUAACCUUUUUGUACCUUUAUUGCUCACGGAGGGAUAAAAAAGAUCGCACUUAAAGUGAUUUAGACAAACUUCCCCAGAUGUAUCAUACCAAAGUCUUCUAAGAGCAACAAAUGGAUUCUCCUCAACCAACUUGGUCGGUAUGGGCAGUUUUGGGUCCGUUUAUAAGGGAAUACUUGAGCAAGGUUAAACUACAAUUGCGAUCAAGGUACUCAACCAUGUUCAUUUAGCAGGGCUUACAAAAGUUUUAUUUAUGAGUGCGAGGCUUUCCGAAAUAUUGGACACCGUAAUCUUGUCAAGAUAGUCUCAGCAUGUUCUGGUUUUGAUUAUCGCGGUCACGACUUCAAGGCCUUAAUUUACGAGUUCAUGGCUAACGGGAGCUUGGAGGAAUGGCUAUAUCCA